UCUCUUUGUAGAUCUUAGAGGAUACCCGUAAAUGGUGGAAGGCGCGAAAUAUACGAGGUCAGGUGGCUCAUGUUCCACACACAAUUGUUACGCCAUAUAACUACGGUGACGAGUCUAAUAGCAAUCAAUUCUAUGGGCAACAACAAGUUCAAUCACUUCAGCAAGGGAAUAACUAUACCCAAGCAAGGAAUGCAGCAGAUACACUAUUAAGUGAUAAUAUCGAAGCGCACCGAUCACAGGACACUACCGAUUGGAUUCGUAAUAAGCAUCUGGGUAAGAAAGGAGAGUUCAGAUAUUUUUAAUAUGCUGCAUCAUAUCAACAUGUGUACACGUAUCGCUCUUUCUUCACUGGGUCUUUGGUGUUUUUAUCUAUAACUUUGUUUAAACAACUAAACUAAAAUUUUAAUUUUAUUUUAUGUUUAGAGUGUGUGACUUAAUGUAGUUGCCAAUAUCAGGUUAUGUUGUAUUUUUGAUGAGUUUGCUGAGUACAUUACAACACACUGAAUAUCAAAAAAUUAAAAAAAAAAAACUUAUCAGAUUUAAGUAUUUCUCUUUUAGAUAAGUAACGAAUCUCUUAUUUCUUUGUAAAAUCAUAAAAAGAGACUAAACAAUGGCGUAUUGAAGCCAAGAAAUUUAUUUAUAAAUCGUUUAUGAACAAACUUCCGAAUCGAUGUUCAGCAAUUAGUAUUCAUGUUAUUUUUAUUAACUGAAAAAGAGUAAAACUUUCGAGAAAAUAUUACAAAGUUAGGAGCAAUUGUAAAUUGUUUAUGUUAUGCUAGUUUUUUCAUUAAUGUGGUACAGAUUUGCUGAAAACUAUUAAAGACCAUAGACUACGUAUCUCGAAAAAUGAUAGUACCUAUGUAGAUCUAUCAGCUUUUACCAAGAAUAUAACAAACAGUGAAAGUA
Long non-coding RNA from Anastrepha ludens (Mexican fruit fly), 906 nucleotides. RefSeq lists it as uncharacterized. NCBI's taxonomy places the organism in Eukaryota, Metazoa, Arthropoda, Insecta, Diptera, Tephritidae. The transcript has 2 exons. The record is from RefSeq and is a predicted model, not a curated record.